GAUGAACGCUGGCGGCGUGCCUAAUACAUGCAAGUCGAGCGAAUGGAUUAAGAGCUUGCUCUUAUGAAGUUAGCGGCGGACGGGUGAGUAACACGUGGGUAACCUGCCCAUAAGACUGGGAUAACUCCGGGAAACCGGGGCUAAUACCGGAUAACAUUUUGAACCGCAUGGUUCGAAAUUGUAAGGCGGCUUCGGCUGUCACUUAUGGAUGGACACGCGUCGCAUUAGCGAGUUGGGGAGGUAACGGCUCACCAAGGCAACGAUGCGUAGCCGACCUGAGAGGGUGAUCGGCCACACUGGGACUGAGACACGGCCCAGACUCCUACGGGAGGCAGCAGUAGGGAAUCUUCCGCAAUGGACGAAAGUCUGACGGAGCAACGCCGCGUGAGUGAUGAAGGCUUUCGGGUCGUAAAACUCUGUUGUUAGGGAAGAACAAGUGCUAGUUGAAUAAGCUGGCACCUUGACGGUACCUAACCAGAAAGCCACGGCUAACUACGUGCCAGCAGCCGCAGUAA
RNAcentral lists this ribosomal RNA (515 nucleotides) under uncultured bacterium. RNAcentral describes it as "partial 16S ribosomal RNA". It matches the Rfam family "Bacterial small subunit ribosomal RNA", at positions 28 to 523 of the family's 1533-position model. The record is from RNAcentral.